Molecule: long non-coding RNA, 112 nt
Organism: Sarcophilus harrisii (Tasmanian devil)
Lineage: Eukaryota; Metazoa; Chordata; Mammalia; Dasyuromorphia; Dasyuridae
Exons: 3
Source: RefSeq, a predicted model, not a curated record
UCCAAGGCCUCUGCUUGGUUGAGUGAAGAAGCUGUGGUCACAUGGUCCGCAAAGAAGAAGCUCAGGAAAUAGAAAGAUGCUGUCAGCACCUCUGGGAGGCUCACCAGUGCCC